CACCUGCAUUUUGGAGCUGCCUUAAGAAAUCAAAAGAGAUCAUGUUUGUACACAGCUUUAUUAACUUAAUAUUUAUUGUUUACAAACUUGUGACAUUAAUGCCCCACCUGCCCUGAACAACAGCUUGCCACUGGGCUACACUACUUCUUUUUUUUAAGUCAACAUUCGUUCAGAACAAUAGGCUUGAUAGCCAGAGAAAAUGCCACUCAAAAGUAUCAAAAAGAAAGGUGGAUAAUGAAAAUCGUAGUUUCAGGGAAGAAUGUACAGAGACAUAUGGGUUCACCUUACCAUCUUUUCCCAAUGCCAAGCCAGUGCAUCUUUUUCGAAAUGAAAAUGUUGCCGUUUUUUUUUACUGACAUUCUGUCACUUAAAAGCGUUAAAUCUCCAGUUACAAGAAAAAGGUUAAAACAGGCGUGGACAUGGUGGAACAACUUAAGGCCAUUCGUAGGAAACUUGAGUUGUUCGUUUUGUACUUGUCAUCUGGAAGGCUACUGCACUUCAGCACACUAAAGAAACGAGGGAACAGGUCGCAGCAUGGAUCAAGCAGUUGCGGAACAACUAAACCAGAUUUGAAGACUACAGCAUGCCCAAGGAUAUCAUUGCGUUUGUACAUGCUUCUCUCACAGUCCGCCCAGGUGGAGAAUUCUCGAUACCCUUGCUGGAUGCGGCCGUAAUUCAAACUGCGCUGAUUGAAUUCCAGACAUCGAGCUAAAAUCAGGGAUGUGUUUUGGGUGGCAUGCUCAGAGGAAUACAGCCAAUAAAGACACUUGCAUUUUAUGUGCUAACAAUGUUCGUAUCGACUUACACCUGCGAGUUCUCAUUUUCCUCUAUGAACGCAAUAUAGACUCAGGACAGGACCGGCUUUCACAUAAAUCAAUCGGAGGACUGCCUGCGCAUCAAGAUCACAUCCAUCUCACACGACAUCCACAAGAUCGUGUCCGAGGGGAAAUGAAACCCAUUGAGAGCAGGCUAUCCCGAUAGACAUUCAGACAUGGACAUCACCUUUUUUUUCUUUAAAUGAUUGUUUUAUGCCAGGGGCGGAAAUCCCGGGGGGGACGGGGGGGGACACGACCCCCCCAUCCUGGGAAAAAUAUGGUUUGUCCCCCCCAAUAUAUCACUGAAACAUAACUAUGUAAUUUAAAUAAUAUUAAUAAUACGCAAUGAAAGCAAUUGUGCUGAUUAUAGACACUUAAUAGCUCAUUUUUAAGUUUCAAAAGAUUGCGACCCCCCCCACCGUUUGCCUCAAAAUGGUUUGAUCCACU
Molecule: long non-coding RNA, 1262 nt
Filed under: Salmo salar (Atlantic salmon)
Lineage: Eukaryota; Metazoa; Chordata; Actinopteri; Salmoniformes; Salmonidae
Description: lncRNA (ENSSSAG00000106595.1)
Source: RNAcentral